RNAcentral lists this ribosomal RNA (597 nucleotides) under uncultured bacterium. Its description in RNAcentral is "bacterial SSU rRNA". It matches the Rfam family "Bacterial small subunit ribosomal RNA", at positions 338 to 948 of the family's 1533-position model. The record is from RNAcentral.
CCUACGGGAGGCAGCAGUAAGGAAUCUUCCACAAUGGACGAAAGUCUGAUGGAGCAACGCCGCGUGCAGGAUGAAGGCUUUCGGGUCGUAAACUGCUUUUAUAUGGGAAGAUUAUGACGGUACCAUAUGAAUAAGGACCGGCUAACUACGUGCCAGCAGCCGCGGUAAUACGUAGGGUCCAAGCGAUAUCCGGAAUUACUGGGCGUAAAGCGUGUGUAGGUGGAUUAAUAAGUGUGAUGCGAAAUCCGGCGGCUCAACCGUUUGGACUGUGUCGCAUACUGUUAGUCUAGAGGACGGCAGAGGUAAGUGGAAUUACGGGUGUAGCAGUGAAAUGCGUAGAUAUCCGUAGGAACACCAAUGGCGAAGGCAGCUUACUGGGCCACACCUGACACUGAGACACGAAAGCGUGGGGAGCGAACAGGAUUAGAUACCCUGGUAGUCCACGCCGUAAACGAUGCAUACUAUUAGUAUGGGGUAUCGACCCCCUGUGCUGAGAAGCUAACGCGAUAAGUAUGCCGCCUGGGGAGUACGAGCGCAAGCUUAAAACUCAAAGAGUAGUAGCGUGAGAGUCGCGACGACGACGACGACGGGAGGAGG